GACGGGGGGGGCAAGUGUUCUUCGGAAUGACUGGGCGUCAAGGGCACGUAGACGGUGAAUCGGGUUGAAAGUGAAAGUCGCCAAAAAGUGGCGGAAUGCUCUCGAAACCAAUUCACUUGAGUGGGACAGAGGAGGGUGGAAUUUCGUGUGUAGGGGUGAAAUCCGUAGAUCUACGAAGGAAGGCCAAAAGCGAAGGCAGCUCUCUGGGUCCCUACCGACGCUGGGGUGCGAAAGCAUGGGGAGCGAACAGG
RNAcentral lists this ribosomal RNA (251 nucleotides) under uncultured bacterium. RNAcentral describes it as "partial 16S ribosomal RNA". It matches the Rfam family "Bacterial small subunit ribosomal RNA", at positions 524 to 776 of the family's 1533-position model. The record is from RNAcentral.